This 1394-nucleotide long non-coding RNA is filed under the name Homo sapiens (human). RNAcentral's name for it is "HSALNT0308883". The record is from RNAcentral. Lineage: Eukaryota; Metazoa; Chordata; Mammalia; Primates; Hominidae.
UAUAAACGCACAUUAUCUGUAAGAGUCAGGAUUGUAUUGCUGGCACCCUGGGUGGGUACAUGGGCAGUGGCAACGAUUUGUGUGUGGGCUGCUGUUUCCAUUCCCAGAGGGCAGAGCUCAUGUUUGGGCUUGGGAGGGUGUUUCCUACUCAAUAAACAAAAAGUGGCCGCAACAGGACUGGGGCAAAACAGUGAGGGGAAAGAGCACGGAACUAGAUGUCCAGAAACCUGGGUCUUAAUUCCAUCCUGAGCACUAUCUCCUCGUACAACCUUGAGCAAGUCCUUUGCCCUUCUGUUUAUAAAAUGAGGUGGGUGGAUCAGGAGUUCUCAAACUGUGCUCCAUGCUACCCUGGGGUUCUAGAAAUUCUGGAGCUCAAGGGCAUCAGUGGGUCAAGAGGACAGAAUGUCAUCAAAUUGGAAUCAUACAGAUUUCAGAUUGGCUUCUUUCACUAAGCAAUAUGCAUGAUAGAGGACUUCAUCAACAAGGUUCUUUCAUCUUCCUUAGUUGUUUGGAUCCUUAAGCCUGCCUUGAAAGAAGAGGGAGAAGGCUUCAGGGGAAAUGCUCCCCGCGCUGACCCACAGGAUGGCUUCCUUCAACAAAUGCAGCCACCUUUGAUUGGCUGCCUGCUACAAGAGAAACAUCAGGAGGUACGUAUUGCCAUGGGGGGAACUGAAGAUGGAGGACCCCUCAUUUGUGGAAUUGGGAACGGGCUUUGGGUCACAUGAGGCUCAUCCCUGAUGAGCUAGAACGUGGAAGUUACCUGAAUCCAGAAACCGAUAUUAGGCUCUGUAAUGGACAUGCAGAGGAAGAAGGACCUGUUGCCACGUCUACAGAGGGGUCAGGAAAGACACACUUGGAAUGACCCUAAGAAACCAUGGGCAAGUCUCCAUUUUUUUCCCUCAGCCAAAUCUGUAUGCACUGGUACAGCCAUACCAAUUAUUAAAAUAUUGAAAAACUUCUGUGUCCCUUGGGAAACAGCCACUACCAUGAGCCCCACUACUGCCCUUCUCUCCUGGCAUGUUCAGACCUCCCUGAGUCCAGCAAUGAAAGGGUUAACACUUGCCCCAGCAGAGGGCCUCUGGGAGCCAGCUCCUGCCUUCAGAGCUGUCUGUUAAGACUGGUCUAGGACUAGAUUCAUUCUUACUGUUUUUAAAUAGCUUGAAUGUCACCUCCAGAUGAAGCUCCCCAAACGGAAUGAGACAUCUAAAUAGAGCCACAUGGGGUCCAUCUGGGGUGGCUCCCCAGAGGACAAAUUUUGCAAAGGAAAUCUGAUGGGGUAAGAGAUGCAAUUUAGUGGCUAGGAGAGUGAGGGUUUGGACAAAGCUCUGAUUAAGGAGCAAUCCUCCUGUGGCAUGCUAGGGUUUAAACACAGGGUUCAGAGUGGCAUGCACAUC